Molecule: ribosomal RNA, 39 nt
Filed under: Platystomum rosae
Lineage: Eukaryota; Fungi; Ascomycota; Dothideomycetes; Pleosporales; Lophiostomataceae
Description: partial 18S small subunit ribosomal RNA
Source: RNAcentral
GUCGUACAAGUUUCCGUAGUGAACUGCGGAAGGAUCAUU